CUAAUCUCUUAAAACCAAUUCUCAGUUCGGAUUGCAGGCUGCAACUCGCCUGCAUGAAGUCGGAAUCGCUAGUAAUCGCGGAUCAGCACGCCGCGGUGAAUACGUUCCCGGGCCUUGUACACACCGCCCGUCACACCACGGAAGUUGGGAGUACCCAAAGUAGGUUGCCUAACCGCAAGGAGGGCGCUUCCUAAGGUAAGACCGAUGACUGGGGUGAAGUCGUAACAAGGUACC
RNAcentral lists this ribosomal RNA (234 nucleotides) under uncultured bacterium. RNAcentral's name for it is "partial 16S ribosomal RNA". It matches the Rfam family "Bacterial small subunit ribosomal RNA", at positions 1268 to 1500 of the family's 1533-position model. The record is from RNAcentral.